CCGCGUGUGUGAAGAAGGCCUUUCGGGUUGUAAAGCACUUUCAGUCAGGAGGAAAGGUUAGUAGUUAAUACCUGCUAGCUGUGACGUUACUGACAGAAGAAGCACCGGCUAACUCCGUGCCAGCAGCCGCGGUAAUACGGAGGGUGCGAGCGUUAAUCGGAAUUACUGGGCGUAAAGCGUACGCAGGCGGUUUGUUAAGCGAGAUGUGAAAGCCCCGGGCUCAACCUGGGAACUGCAUUUCGAACUGGCAAACUAGAGUGUGAUAGAGGGUGGUAGAAUUUCAGGUGUAGCGGUGAAAUGCGUAGAGAUCUGAAGGAAUACCGAUGGCGAAGGCAGCCACCUGGGUCAACACUGACGCUCAUGUACGAAAGCGUGGGGAGCAAACAGGAUUAGAUACCCUGGUAGUCCACGCCGUAAACGAUGUCUACUAGAAGCUCGGAACUUCGGUUCUGUUUUUCAAAGCUAACGCAUUAAGUAGACCGCCUGGGGAGUACGGCCGCAAGGUUAAAACUCAAAUGAAUUGACGGGGGCCCGCACAAGCGGUGGAGCAUGUGGUUUAAUUCGAUGCAACGCGAAGAACCUUACCUACACUUGACAUACAGAGAACUU
RNAcentral lists this ribosomal RNA (609 nucleotides) under Pseudoalteromonas sp. RNAcentral describes it as "bacterial SSU rRNA". It matches the Rfam family "Bacterial small subunit ribosomal RNA", at positions 397 to 998 of the family's 1533-position model. Lineage: Bacteria; Pseudomonadati; Pseudomonadota; Gammaproteobacteria; Alteromonadales; Pseudoalteromonadaceae. The record is from RNAcentral.